This 724-nucleotide ribosomal RNA is filed under the name Candidimonas sp. Its description in RNAcentral is "bacterial SSU rRNA". It matches the Rfam family "Bacterial small subunit ribosomal RNA", at positions 24 to 743 of the family's 1533-position model. Lineage: Bacteria; Pseudomonadati; Pseudomonadota; Betaproteobacteria; Burkholderiales; Alcaligenaceae. The record is from RNAcentral.
UCAGAUUGAACGCUAGCGGGAUGCUUUACACAUGCAAGUCGAACGGCAGCGCGGACUUCGGUCUGGCGGCGAGUGGCGAACGGGUGAGUAAUGUAUCGGAACGUACCCAGUAGCGGGGGAUAACUACGCGAAAGCGUGGCUAAUACCGCAUACGCCCUUUGGGGGAAAGCGGGGGACCUUCGGGCCUCGCACUAUUGGAGCGGCCGAUAUCGGAUUAGCUAGUUGGUGAGGUAAAGGCUCACCAAGGCGACGAUCCGUAGCUGGUUUGAGAGGACGACCAGCCACACUGGGACUGAGACACGGCCCAGACUCCUACGGGAGGCAGCAGUGGGGAAUUUUGGACAAUGGGGGCAACCCUGAUCCAGCCAUCCCGCGUGUGCGAUGAAGGCCUUCGGGUUGUAAAGCACUUUUGGCAGGGAAGAAAAGGUGCCGGUGAAUACCCGGCGCCGCUGACGGUACCUGCAGAAUAAGCACCGGCUAACUACGUGCCAGCAGCCGCGGUAAUACGUAGGGUGCAAGCGUUAAUCGGAAUUACUGGGCGUAAAGCGUGCGCAGGCGGCUCGGAAAGAAAGAUGUGAAAUCCCAGGGCUUAACCUUGGAAUGGCAUUUUUAACUCCCGAGCUAGAGUAUGUCAGAGGGGGGUAGAAUUCCACGUGUAGCAGUGAAAUGCGUAGAGAUGUGGAGGAAUACCGAUGGCGAAGGCAGCCCCCUGGGAUAAUACUGA